CCCACACACACUCACACACACACACACACACACACACAUUCUCUGAAGCUACGGGUCUCCUUGGGCAGUUGAGUUCUCAUUGCAAGUAGGAGCUGGGGGCGCCUUGGCUACUGGAGAAUUUCGAGAGGCGAUUUCCAGAUCUCACAAGUUGGAAGUUGUUUUCCUGCUGGAAAAGAGUGGCGGCCGGCGGGAUAUAAGGGCGGCAGGCGCCGGGCGAGAGUCAGAUCCUCAGCGCUUCACACUCGGUGAGAGACCCAGGCAGGCAGAGAGCAAAGAUCACAUACAAGAAGAGACCCGGGGCCAACAAGCAGGCGCAUACAUUUCGCUAUUUAAGACACCGAAACACUCUCAGAUUUUGUGUGUGGUUCUUUUUUUUUCUUUUGUUAUUGCUUGGAUUCAUAAAACAAAACAAAACAAAACAAAAAACCCCGAACAGCCCGAAUCUUUGCUGUGGCUAAGGAGAUAAGAGUCGAGUGAUCUCUGACAAAUCGCUGCUGCCGCUGCUGCCGCUGCCGCUGCUGCUGCUUGACAUCUACCGGCCACAAUCCACAGCGGCCAGAGAACUGCGCGCACACACCCGCACACAAAACAACAACCAGCCAGCACUCUCCCUUCUUCCGAAGCCACCGGGGAUUAUCACCUCGCCUAUAGGGAUUUCCAGAUCGCCGUUUUUUAAUCUUCCUUGUGAAGAAGCCUCUUCGCUGUUCUCUUGGGAAUUAAGCUAAACAUUUGGCGUCUUGCUCUCCACUCCCCUCUCUUUUUUUGGUGGGGAAGAAACGCAAGGAAAAGACAGAAGAAAAAAGAGCCCUAUCUCCUCGUGGAUUGGAAAAGCCCGGAGGAAAGCCAAAAGCUGACAUUCAGAAUAUUUCAUAUAUAUAUAUAUAUAUAUAUAUACACAUAUAUAUACAUAUAUACACAUAUAUUUUCAAAGCAAUCUCUCCCCCCCUUUUUUUUGCCAUCCACUACAGCUGUCAGUCACCGAAAGGGCGUGUAUCUAAAGCAACCACAACACUCACAGAAAAGAAAGAGAGGAGAGGUUCUUGCAAAAGGAAAACCCUAACUCCACCAGCCUGGGACAAGAGAUUUCUUCUGUCCAGGCUUUUGAAAUAUUUUUUCUCCCUUUAAUACUCUCUAAUCUUAAGAAAAAGAGGGAAGAGGGGAGAAGGAAGACCAGACAAGAGA
RNAcentral lists this long non-coding RNA (1182 nucleotides) under Vombatus ursinus (common wombat). RNAcentral's name for it is "lncRNA (ENSVURG00010019610.1)". The record is from RNAcentral. Lineage: Eukaryota; Metazoa; Chordata; Mammalia; Diprotodontia; Vombatidae.